UACGGGGGGGGCAAGCGUUGUUCGGAAUUACUGGGCGUAAAGGGUUCGUAGGUGGCCAACUCAGUCAGACGUGAAAUCCCUCAGCUUAACUGGGAACUGCGUCUGAUACUGGAUGGCUCGAGUGCAGGAGAGGAACGCGGAAUUCCAGGUGUAGCGGUGAAAUGCGUAGAUAUCUGGAGGAACACCGGUGGCGAAGGCGGCGUUCUGGACUGCAACUGACACUGAGGAACGAAAGCCAGGGGAGCAAACGGG
RNAcentral lists this ribosomal RNA (252 nucleotides) under uncultured bacterium. Its description in RNAcentral is "partial 16S ribosomal RNA". It matches the Rfam family "Bacterial small subunit ribosomal RNA", at positions 524 to 776 of the family's 1533-position model. The record is from RNAcentral.